This 457-nucleotide ribosomal RNA is filed under the name uncultured bacterium. RNAcentral describes it as "partial 16S ribosomal RNA". It matches the Rfam family "Bacterial small subunit ribosomal RNA", at positions 338 to 795 of the family's 1533-position model. The record is from RNAcentral.
CCUACGGGUGGCAGCAGUGGGGAAUAUUGCACAAUGGGGGGAACCCUGAUGCAGCGACGCCGCGUGGGUGAAGGAGCACCUCGGUGCGUAAAGCCCUAUCGGCAGGGAAGAAAGGCGGGCGGGGCCCGUCUGGACGGUACCUGACUAAGAAGCCCCGGCUAACUACGUGCCAGCAGCCGCGGUAAUACGUAGGGGGCAAGCGUUAUCCGGAUUCACUGGGUGUAAAGGGAGCGUAGACGGCGACGCAAGUCUGGAGUGAAAGCCCGGGGCCCAACCCCGGGACUGCUCUGGAAACUGGGGCGCUUGAGUGCGGGAGGGGCAGGUGGAAUUCCUGGUGUAGCGGUGAAAUGCGUAGAUAUCAGGAGGAACACCGGCGGCGAAGGCGGCCUGCUGGACCGUGACUGACGUUGAGGCUCGAGAGCGUGGGGAGCAAACAGGAUUAGAUACCCCUGUAGUC